CGGCGGACGGGUGAGUAACACGUGGAUAACCUACCUAUAAGACUGGGAUAACUCCGGGAAACCGGAGCUAAUACCGGAUAAUAUUUUGAACCGCAUGGUUCAAAAGUGAAAGACGGUCUUGCUGUCACUUAUAGAUGGAUCCGCGCUGCAUUAGCUAGUUGGUAAGGUAACGGCUUACCAAGGCAACGAUGCAUAGCCGACCUGAGAGGGUGAUCGGCCACACUGGAACUGAGACACGGUCCAG
This 244-nucleotide ribosomal RNA is filed under the name uncultured Staphylococcus sp. Its description in RNAcentral is "partial 16S ribosomal RNA". It matches the Rfam family "Bacterial small subunit ribosomal RNA", at positions 96 to 334 of the family's 1533-position model. The record is from RNAcentral. Lineage: Bacteria; Bacillati; Bacillota; Bacilli; Caryophanales; Staphylococcaceae.